GAGAGGAGAAAGGACACAGAGAGGAGAAGUGGGUCAGCGGCAGGAGUGGCCAAGAAAUGGAAGUACUCUGCGGUACUGUCAUUCCUCGACCCCUUUGUCACCCCCAGGGAGACGAGAGGGAACAUGUCACAGGGGGUCGAGGAUACCGCAGAGUACGACCACCAGGAAGAAGCAGCAGGGCAAUGGGAGCAUGAGGAAGGAGCCCACCCUGACUCAUCCUCUGAUGGGGAUGGCAGUGAUGGAGGAUCAUCCUGAUCCUCCAUCACUGCCAGAACCUGCUCCCUCUGCUGCUUCUGCUCCUCCUGCCACUGAAGCCCAUUCAACAUCGGCUGCUGUCCCCAGAGUGAGGAGGAGACCCCCAAAGAGGUCCAGGGAGCAGCCGUCGGAGGUGUAGCAGCUGCUUCUGGAGGCCCUCAGAAACAGGCCAACAACACCCGCUCCACCUCCCCCCUCAGAGGACGAACUGUUCCUCCAAAGUCUGCUUCCCUCCCUGCAGAGAUUGCCACCCCAGACGAAAGAAUUUGUCAAAUUUCAAAUACACAAAUUAAUCUAUGAAUCGAGGACUGUUUCUCUCAAUUUGGAACCAUUGGAACCCACAGAAUAGUUUAUUUUUAAACUGGGGCAACAAUCUCUGCAGGAACCAACCAGACUUUCUCUCCUUUUUCCUCUCCUACUGGUCCGUCACUCUUCCCCCCUUACACCACCAAGCAAGCUCCUUUUUAUUCCUGUUCCUACAUUGUUUUAUUUAUUAUUAUUUA
Molecule: long non-coding RNA, 758 nt
Organism: Notolabrus celidotus (New Zealand spotty)
Lineage: Eukaryota; Metazoa; Chordata; Actinopteri; Labriformes; Labridae
Exons: 3
Source: RefSeq, a predicted model, not a curated record